Molecule: non-coding RNA, 4570 nt
Organism: Leptonychotes weddellii (Weddell seal)
Lineage: Eukaryota; Metazoa; Chordata; Mammalia; Carnivora; Phocidae
Source: RefSeq, a predicted model, not a curated record
GUUACGUUUAGCAAGAAUGAAUGAAGAGAUGCGGGAAUCAGAAGGACUUUAUGGACAGCCAGGUGAUGAAACCUACCAGGAUAUUUUUCGUGAUUUUUCCCAAAUGGCAUCCAAUAAUCCAGAGAAACUAAAUCGUUUCCAGCAAGAUUCACAGAAAUUCUGAGUUUUUUUUAAGAAGGGGAAAAUAUUAAAUUGAAUGAUCCCCUAAUGUGUACAUCUGAAAUCUCACAAAUUUUUACUGCUUUAAUUCUACUUAAUUUUAGUAGGUAUUGAGUGGUUUGGAAAAAAGGUACCAGUUCAUUGAUAUUUUUAUAAAUUAAAACAUAGAGCUCUAGUAGUUGGGAGAGGAACCUAUUUUAGGACCUCUUUUAUAAAAAAAAAAAAAAAGUCUGUUUAAAGGGCUAUUUUUUAUAGAUAAAGUUAAAUCUAGACUUAGGUCAUCUCUAGGUUAUAAGAUGCUAAGAGUUUAGACAAAAUCUCUGUUUUUGCCAAUGGGUGGUAGCAUUGAUUUUUUUUUUUUCCUAUGCAUCAUGCCCAGGAUCAUUCAGUCAAGCAUGUCUGCAUCAAAGUGAGAGCCAGAUGUUCUGCCUGCCUGAAGAAUAUGUCUUUUCUUUAGCUUCCCUAAUGAUUUUUGGUGGUUCAAAAAUAUUUUUUUUUGUUGUUUUGUUUUGUUUUCUAAUAUCCUAACUAUCAUAUACACAGUAUGUAAUUUAAUUAUCAGAGCUAGAGAAUAUGUUUCCUCCAUUUGCUCAUAAAUGUAGUGAUACUCCUUAGAUUUCUGGUUAUUGGCAUGUAUGUUAACACACGUGUAAUGGCUGGACAAGUAGACAUAACUCAGUCUUUCAGAUUUAUUCCAUUUUAUGAAGCAAAAAGAAGCCCUUAACAAUUUUUUUUUAAAUAACCAAAAGAAUCCUUACUUAUAGAAGUUGUAGUCCUUCAUUAUUGGGUUGGUUUCCUAAAACCUUGACAAAUUUAUUGAUGUAAUAAAACUAUGUUUCAAAGGUUACUUGAAUGUUGAAAAAUUAUGCUUUUAUCAGAUUGUAAAACUUUUAAAGGAUAAGUUGAUUUAUAAAAUAAUGUAGAGCAUUUUUAUAUUUGAAAUUUCUCCUUUUCAAGAUAAUUUUGCUAUUGCAUUGAGUGAAAGAAAAAUUUCUGUGAAAGAAAAACCUCAUGUUUUUCUUAGUUUAUACUAAAUUACGUAAUGAUAGAUUGCUUUUAAUUUUUUCAACAUCUAUCCUGUGUACUUUGUACACAGUGUACAGUAUUUUUAAUUAUACUAUCUAUAUAUCUUUAGUAGUUGGUUACAUGAAACACUGACCCUUGAAUUCCAAAACAUGGAUCUACUAAUUUACACGUAAAUGCUAUAAAUUUGUCUGAUUCCAUCUUUGAUGGACAUAUCUUGUCAGGAGUACAAAAUAAGUCAUUUGCCUUACGGUUUCUAAUAUUGUCAGUAAUUAAGUUUAAUCUUCUUUUACAAGUUAUGUCGAAGUGAUAUUAUUGAUACUCAGUUUCUAAAUAAGAGUUUCUAAAAUUUGCAUUACCAAAUAAGUAGAAAAAUUAUAUUUAAUUUGGUAGAUAAUAAAAUUUUCUAACAUCCCUCCCUCCAGUAACUAGAGUUUUAUAAGCUGAUUGCAUGUCAAAUCAGGAUUUGUCUAAACAGGAAUUAGACUGAAGUAAAUUCAUGUCACAGAAAAGUUUCCAUAUUUGGCCAAAUUGUGUGCAUAUAAUGCUUAUUUAAUAAUAAUCAGUGUAUGUUAGAUAAGGAUAAAAUAUAUUUAAUAGUUAUUUCUAAGAAAAUACUAACUUCCAAUGCCUGUAUUUUAAUUGCAACAGUAACAGGAACAUUAAAUCUCUGUUUCUCACCUCAGAGUCACAGAUCAUCUGGCUUUGCACAAGUCUAGUCUGUAACAUUUUUAUUAGAGUGUACUUUGAAGUUGUCCAAAAAGUUCAAGGAUAAGGAAAUAUGUUAAAAAUGAACAGAAAGAAAAAGAGAAGCUCACUUUUCCUUUGUAGUGCCUAUUCCUGUUAAUCAUAGGCUUCACUUCUAAUGCUCCUAAACUUUAUCUGAGGAAGCCUGAACAGUUUUGCUUUGAGAUCCAGCCAGUGGUGCUUCACAUCAUCUCUGGGGUCUCUGGUUGUGAAGGCCAUUCCUUAUGACACUCUUACCUCCUGUGGCUUGAGUCAUGAGUUUUAUUAAUGUGGUAGUAAUUAGUGUCUACUUAAAUUUAAUGGUUAGAGAUGUAUUUGAAGAUUAUCAUGGUUCUGAAUAUCUUCAGAGAAACUAAAUCUUUAACAGUAUAGGAAGCCUGGCAAUACAAAAAUACAUUCCUGUGGCUUGAUUUCUUGAAUAUGCCAUGACCCAAUUUGGAUGAAAUUUGGCAGAAACGAUGCAGUAAAUAUAGCAAGGCGUUAAAGUAAAUUAAUAGUUACAAGUAGUUACAACGUAGAUUGGGUCUUACCAAGGUGAAUUUAGCUGUGUCAACUAAUAGCUUUUAUAUAGUAUGUAACAAAUCUGAGUUUUAUUAUGCUGUGAAUUAUUCUCAAUGCAUUAUGAGAAAUUAUAGUGUGAACAAUGUUAAUCAUACUUUCGGGCUUCGUAAGUCAAUGUGAUCGCCCUUUGUUUUCUUUCCCUAACUGAUCUGCUUAUAUUAGUUUCUGAUUCCUUAUCAGUAUUCUAUUAGCUUAUUGUCACUAGCACAGUAACUUAAAAGCUAGAUUAACAUCAAAAUAAGAAUAGCAGUACUAUGAAGAGCUCAUAAAAUGCAGUCUUGCACUAGAACUAGACUAAAGAUAAUUGAGUAGUUAUUUGCAGUGUUUCCUUGUAACACUUUUAUGUUUAAGAUUUCUAAGGUUUUUAAAAAUUACCUUUGGUACAAUCCUUAGAGAUUCAGAAAUUUCCAGGGAUUCAGUACAUUACAGUGUUUACCUAAUUUUUACUGGUCUUCACUGUAUAUUUUAAUGAGCUUUGAUGUUUACUUUCUGAAACAUAUAAUUUAAUUUGGAAUAUAUACUAUAAUUUUGAAAAAAAAAAUGACACCUUCACAGUCUGGACAACUUAAGUUUGUGGUGUGUUGGGCAGUAUUUUAAAAAAUACAAUUUUACACAUGUAAAGUAUGGUGACAAUAAACCAAAUUGUAUUUAAGACUAAAUUUACUACUCAUUUUGAAUAAGAACACAUUCCCAUAGCACUCUUACAUUGUCCUAUUAACUUUUCUGUUUGAUAGCACUUUUGAUCAUGGACAGGAGCAGGAAAAAUGAUGUAUUUUUAUAGAAUUGUUAUGUCCAAAAUGACUUCCACCUUCAUGAUACAGUGGAAAGAGCACUGACUAGUAGUUACUGCCCUUUUUGGAUUCAGAGCUCCUCACAAAUGAAAUGAGUGGGUAAAACAUGGUGAAACUGUAACAGCAUCCUUUUGUGUACAGUUCUGCUCACAGUGUACUUUGACAUUACUUUAUCUCACCUGAUUCUGACAGUAGGACUUCUGCGAUAUUAAUCUAAGAAUGCCAGCAUUUCUGUUCUUUGAUCCUGGGUUGCUCCUCUUGGUUUAUAGAGGGGAGUCGUUGAUGUGCUGGUUGGUAGGGUAGCUGACACCAGAACCCCUGUCGGACUGACUACUAGUCAGAGGCACUUUACUUGUAUCAUGAAAUGUUUUGAAAUCAUUGUAAAGUAGCAAAAUCUGAUAAUGACUGCCAGCUUUCCUUGUGUUUUCAUAAUGAAGACCCCAAAUAUUUUGGAGAACCUGGAUAUAAAAUUACCUUGAAGGAAUAGAUUAGGAUUUAAAGACAUUAAAUUGUAGGAAAUAUUACAUUUUUGUAAUAACAAAUAUUAAUGAGAGCGACACAUGGUAAGGUGAUUUUAAUUUACCAUAUACUUAUCAAAUUCUUGAUGCUUCCAAAUGAAAGGUAACUAAAAGGGCCUUGGAUUCAGUUUGGCUGAAUCCUGACAUCUAUAAACAUAGUUUUGUAGACAUCCUUUUCCAAUUACAUAAACUUAUCCACUUAAAAUGAAAUAAUAAGGGGAGGGAAAUAAGAUUUGAUUAAAUAAUAUUUUCUCUGCAUUGGUCUUUUCCCUAUCUUAUGUUUUAAGAUUUUCUUAUUUUUCCUCAACAACCCCCUGCCUUGGGUGUUAAUUUUAAACAGGGAAAGCUUGCUACAUUAUAAAGAUUGCUGGCACCAUUUAUUUUACACAAAGGCUAAAGGUUAACUUUUCGAAAUGAUGAGCUACUUUUCUAUAUGUGUUUACUUGUGCUUUGUGGUAUUUCUGAACCAUUCCAGUCAUAAAGACUUAUUACAUGUAAUAUUUCUUGCUACCUGUGAAAAGGCAUAUUUUAAAGAAUGUAUAACCAACACUCCAUUUACUUUUUAUUAGUAUGUAGAGGAUUUGUAUCUAAUUCAUGAAUGUAGUUUUACUGUAGUUUGUCAUUGUAAAUGGAGCAAAGUACAUUAUCUUUAUAGUUAUUCUAAAAUGUACAUUAUGUAAGAAUUGUAAAUAUUAUACUUGAUUAAAUACUUUGUAUGCUGAAAAAUUAUGAUAAGUCAAUAAAAAUCUCACCUCUGGCAUAGUUCUCUUA